AAAGUUGCUGUAGUUAAAAAGCUCGUAGGUGGAUCUUGGGAUCAAGCUGGUGGUCCACCGUGAGGUGAGCCACCACCUGUCCCAGCCUCUGCCUCUUGGCACCCCCUUGAUGCUCUUAGCUGAGUGUCCCACGGGGCCUGAAGCAUUUACUUUGAGAAAAUUAGUGUUCAAAGCAGGUCAGUCACUGGCAUACUGCAGCUAGGAAUAAUGAAAUAGGACUCCAGUUCUAUUUUAUUGGUUUUCGGAAACGGAAUCAUGAUUAAGAGGGAUGGCCAGGGAUACUCGUAUUGUGCCACUAGAAGCGGAAUUCUUGGACCGGCACAAAACUGCCUAGAGCAAAAGCAUUUGCCAAGAAUGUUUUCAUUAAUCAAGAACAAAAGUUGGAGAUUUGAAGAUGAUCAGAUACCGUUGUAGUUCCCAUCAUAAUUCUU
RNAcentral lists this non-coding RNA (431 nucleotides) under Cariama cristata (Red-legged seriema). Its description in RNAcentral is "Eukaryotic small subunit ribosomal RNA". It matches the Rfam family "Eukaryotic small subunit ribosomal RNA", at positions 606 to 1040 of the family's 1831-position model. The record is from Rfam by way of RNAcentral. Lineage: Eukaryota; Metazoa; Chordata; Aves; Cariamiformes; Cariamidae.